Molecule: long non-coding RNA, 228 nt
Filed under: Elaeis guineensis (African oil palm)
Lineage: Eukaryota; Viridiplantae; Streptophyta; Magnoliopsida; Arecales; Arecaceae
Description: long non-coding RNA (EGUI_LNC047785)
Source: RNAcentral
CGAAUUGAAGGCUGCUGAUCUUUGCUAGUCCAACACUUGGAUAGCUGCUCCUUCAGGUUGCUCACAGCUACAUAAAGAUGUCUGGCCUCUACAAAUCGUCCACACGAAGAUCGGUGUAGAACAAGCUUUUUGGAAGUGCUAGCUUGCAAGGAUCUUUAAGGUUGAUUUCUUCCUUCUUCUUCACAACUCUUAGAUGCUCCAAAAGAAGAGAGAAUCUGGAGGAGGAAG